AUCAACUUUCGAUGGUAGGAUAGAGGCCUACCAUGGUGGUAACGGGUAACGGGGUGUUAGGGCACGACACCGGAGAGGGAGCCUGAGAAACGGCUACCACAUCCAAGGAUGGCAGCAGGCGCGCAAAUUACCCAAUCCCGACACGGGGAGGUAGUGACAAUAAAUAACAAUACGGGGUUCUUUAGGAUCUCGUAAUUGGAAUGAGUACAAUUUAAAUCUCUUAACGAGGAACAAUUGGAGGGCAAGUCUGGUGCCAGCAGCCGCGGUAAUUCCAGCUCCAAUAGCGUAUAUUAAAGUUGUUGCAGUUAAAAAGCUCGUAGUUGAAUUUCGGGGUCAGUAGGUUGGUCGUGCCACAGGUAUGAACUGGUCUCACUGAUUCCUCCUUCCUGAUGAACCGUAAUGCCAUUAAUUUGGUGUUGCGGGGAGACUGGACUGUUACUUUGAAAAAAUUAGAGUGUUUAAAGCAGGCUAACGCUUGAAUACAUUAGCAUGGAAUAAUGAAAUAGGACGUUCGGUCUUAUUUUGUUGGUUUCUAAGAUUGACGUAAUGAUUAAUAGGGAUAGUUGGGGGCAUUAGUAUUCAAUUGUCAGAGGUGAAAUUCUUGGAUUUAUUGAAGACUAACUACUGCGAAAGCAUUUGCCAAGGAUGUUUUCAUUAAUCAAGAACGAAAGUUAGGGGAUCGAAGACGAUCAGAUACCGUCGUAGUCUUAACCAUAAACUAUGCCGACUAGGGAUCGGAUGAUGUUAAUUUUUUAAUGACUCAUUCGGCGCCUUACGGGAAACCAAAGUGUUUGGG
This 796-nucleotide ribosomal RNA is filed under the name uncultured Glomus. Its description in RNAcentral is "SSU rRNA". It matches the Rfam family "Eukaryotic small subunit ribosomal RNA", at positions 314 to 1111 of the family's 1831-position model. Lineage: Eukaryota; Fungi; Glomeromycota; Glomeromycetes; Glomerales; Glomeraceae. The record is from RNAcentral.